This 468-nucleotide ribosomal RNA is filed under the name uncultured bacterium. Its description in RNAcentral is "partial 16S ribosomal RNA". It matches the Rfam family "Bacterial small subunit ribosomal RNA", at positions 28 to 507 of the family's 1533-position model. The record is from RNAcentral.
GACGAACGCUGGCGGCGUGCUUAACACAUGCAAGUCGAACGGAAAGGCCCUGCUUUUGUGGGGUGCUCGAGUGGCGAACGGGUGAGUAACACGUGAGUAACCUGCCCUUGACUUUGGGAUAACUUCAGGAAACUGGGGCUAAUCCCGGAUAGGAGCUCCUGCUGCAUGGUGGGGGUUGGAAAGUUUCGGCGGUUGGGGAUGGACUCGCGGCUUAUCAGCUUGUUGGUGGGGUAGUGGCUUACCAAGGCGUUGACGGGUAGCCGGCCUGAGAGGGUGACCGGCCACAUUGGGACUGAGAUACGGCCCAGACUCCUACGGGAGGCAGCAGUGGGGAAUAUUGCACAAUGGGCGGAAGCCUGAUGCAGCAACGCCGCGUGCGGGAUGACGGCCUUCGGGUUGUAAACCGCUUUCGCCUGUGACGAAGCGUGAGUGACGGUAAUGGGUAAAGAAGCACCGGCUAACUACGUG